Molecule: ribosomal RNA, 2904 nt
Filed under: Klebsiella michiganensis
Lineage: Bacteria; Pseudomonadati; Pseudomonadota; Gammaproteobacteria; Enterobacterales; Enterobacteriaceae
Also listed under: 1 other name
Description: 23S ribosomal RNA
Rfam family: Bacterial large subunit ribosomal RNA
Source: RNAcentral
UUAAGCGACUAAGCGUACACGGUGGAUGCCCUGGCAGUCAGAGGCGAUGAAGGACGUGCUAAUCUGCGAAAAGCGUCGGUAAGGUGAUAUGAACCGUUAUAGCCGGCGAUGUCCGAAUGGGGAAACCCAGUGCAAUUCGUUGCACUAUCGUUUGAUGAAUACAUAGUCAAACGAGGCGAACCGGGGGAACUGAAACAUCUAAGUACCCCGAGGAAAAGAAAUCAACCGAGAUUCCCCCAGUAGCGGCGAGCGAACGGGGAGCAGCCCGGAGUCUGAAUCAGCUUGUGUGUUAGUGGAAGCGUCUGGAAAGUCGCAGGGUACAGGGUGAUACUCCCGUACACUAAAACACACAGGUUGUGAACUCGAAGAGUAGGGCGGGACACGUGGUAUCCUGUCUGAAUAUGGGGGGACCAUCCUCCAAGGCUAAAUACUCCUGACUGACCGAUAGUGAACCAGUACCGUGAGGGAAAGGCGAAAAGAACCCCGGCGAGGGGAGUGAAAAAGAACCUGAAACCGUGUACGUACAAGCAGUAGGAGCCCACUAGUUGGGUGACUGCGUACCUUUUGUAUAAUGGGUCAGCGACUUAUAUUCUGUAGCAAGGUUAACCGUAUGGGGGAGCCGCAGGGAAACCGAGUCUUAACUGGGCGUUAAGUUGCAGGGUAUAGACCCGAAACCCGGUGAUCUAGCCAUGGGCAGGUUGAAGGUUGGGUAACACUAACUGGAGGACCGAACCGACUAAUGUUGAAAAAUUAGCGGAUGACUUGUGGCUGGGGGUGAAAGGCCAAUCAAACCGGGAGAUAGCUGGUUCUCCCCGAAAGCUAUUUAGGUAGCGCCUCGUGAACUCAUCUUCGGGGGUAGAGCACUGUUUCGGCUAGGGGGUCAUCCCGACUUACCAACCCGAUGCAAACUACGAAUACCGAAGAAUGUUAUCACGGGAGACACACGUCGGGUGCUAACGUCCGUCGUGAAGAGGGAAACAACCCAGACCGCCAGCUAAGGUCCCAAAGUCAUGGUUAAGUGGGAAACGAUGUGGGAAGGCCCAGACAGCCAGGAUGUUGGCUUAGAAGCAGCCAUCAUUUAAAGAAAGCGUAAUAGCUCACUGGUCGAGUCGGCCUGCGCGGAAGAUGUAACGGGGCUAAACCAUGCACCGAAGCUGCGGCAGCGACACUAUGUGUUGUUGGGUAGGGGAGCGUUCUGUAAGCCGUUGAAGGUGGCCUGUGAGGGUUGCUGGAGGUAUCAGAAGUGCGAAUGCUGACAUAAGUAACGAUAAUGCGGGUGAAAAACCCGCACGCCGGAAGACCAAGGGUUCCUGUCCAACGUUAAUCGGGGCAGGGUGAGUCGACCCCUAAGGCGAGGCCGAAAGGCGUAGUCGAUGGGAAACAGGUUAAUAUUCCUGUACUCGGUGUUACUGCGAAGGGGGGACGGAGAAGGCUAUGUUGGCCGGGCGACGGUUGUCCCGGUUUAAGCAUGUAGGCGGAUGUUCCAGGUAAAUCCGGAACGUUACUAACGCUGAGGUGUGAUGACGAGGCACUACGGUGCUGAAGUGACAAAUGCCCUGCUUCCAGGAAAAGCCUCUAAGCAUCAGGUAACAUCAAAUCGUACCCCAAACCGACACAGGUGGUCAGGUAGAGAAUACCAAGGCGCUUGAGAGAACUCGGGUGAAGGAACUAGGCAAAAUGGUGCCGUAACUUCGGGAGAAGGCACGCUGAUGGUAAGUGAAGUGACUUGCUCAUGGAGCUGAAAUCAGUCGAAGAUACCAGCUGGCUGCAACUGUUUAUUAAAAACACAGCACUGUGCAAACACGAAAGUGGACGUAUACGGUGUGACGCCUGCCCGGUGCCGGAAGGUUAAUUGAUGGGGUUAUCCGUAAGGAGAAGCUCUUGAUCGAAGCCCCGGUAAACGGCGGCCGUAACUAUAACGGUCCUAAGGUAGCGAAAUUCCUUGUCGGGUAAGUUCCGACCUGCACGAAUGGCGUAAUGAUGGCCAGGCUGUCUCCACCCGAGACUCAGUGAAAUUGAACUCGCUGUGAAGAUGCAGUGUACCCGCGGCAAGACGGAAAGACCCCGUGAACCUUUACUAUAGCUUGACACUGAACACUGGUCCUUGAUGUGUAGGAUAGGUGGGAGGCUUUGAAGUGUGGACGCCAGUCUGCAUGGAGCCAUCCUUGAAAUACCACCCUUUAAUGGCUGGUGUUCUAACGUGGGCCCCUAAUCGGGGUUGCGGACAGUGUCUGGUGGGUAGUUUGACUGGGGCGGUCUCCUCCUAAAGAGUAACGGAGGAGCACGAAGGUCAGCUAAUCCUGGUCGGACAUCAGGAGGUUAGUGCAAUGGCAUAAGCUGGCUUGACUGCGAGCGUGACGGCGCGAGCAGGUGCGAAAGCAGGUCAUAGUGAUCCGGUGGUUCUGAAUGGAAGGGCCAUCGCUCAACGGAUAAAAGGUACUCCGGGGAUAACAGGCUGAUACCGCCCAAGAGUUCAUAUCGACGGCGGUGUUUGGCACCUCGAUGUCGGCUCAUCACAUCCUGGGGCUGAAGUAGGUCCCAAGGGUAUGGCUGUUCGCCAUUUAAAGUGGUACGCGAGCUGGGUUUAGAACGUCGUGAGACAGUUCGGUCCCUAUCUGCCGUGGGCGCUGGAGAAUUGAGGGGGGCUGCUCCUAGUACGAGAGGACCGGAGUGGACGCAUCACUGGUGUUCGGGUUGUCAUGCCAAUGGCAUUGCCCGGUAGCUAAAUGCGGAAGAGAUAAGUGCUGAAAGCAUCUAAGCACGAAACUUGCCCCGAGAUGAGUUCUCCCUGACUCCUUGAGAGUCCUGAAGGAACGUUGAAGACGACGACGUUGAUAGGCCGGGUGUGUAAGCGCAGCGAUGCGUUGAGCUAACCGGUACUAAUGAACCGUGAGGCUUAACCUU